GAUGAACGCUGGCGGCGUGCCUAAUACAUGCAAGUCGAGCGAACAGACGAGGAGCUUGCUCCUCUGACGUUAGCGGUGGACGGGUGAGUAACACGUGGAUAACCUACCUAUAAGACUGGGAUAACUUCGGGAAACCGGGGCUAAUACCGGAUAAUAUAUUGAACCGCAUGGUUCAAUAGUGAAAGACGGUUUUGCUGUCACUUAUAGAUGGAUCCGCGCCGCAUUAGCUAGUUGGUAAGGUAACGGCUUACCAAGGCAACGAUGCGUAGCCGACCUGAGAGGGUGAUCGGCCACACUGGAACUGAGACACGGUCCAGACUCCUACGGGAGGCAGCAGUAGGGAAUCUUCCGCAAUGGGCGAAAGCCUGACGGAGCAACGCCGCGUGAGUGAUGAAGGUCUUCGGAUCGUAAAACUCUGUUAUUAGGGAAGAACAAAUGUGUAAGUAACUAUGCACGUCUUGACGGUACCUAAUCAGAAAGCCACGGCUAACUACGU
RNAcentral lists this ribosomal RNA (496 nucleotides) under uncultured bacterium. RNAcentral describes it as "partial 16S ribosomal RNA". It matches the Rfam family "Bacterial small subunit ribosomal RNA", at positions 28 to 506 of the family's 1533-position model. The record is from RNAcentral.